Molecule: ribosomal RNA, 306 nt
Filed under: uncultured Peredibacter sp.
Lineage: Bacteria; Pseudomonadati; Bdellovibrionota; Bacteriovoracia; Bacteriovoracales; Bacteriovoracaceae
Description: bacterial SSU rRNA
Rfam family: Bacterial small subunit ribosomal RNA
Source: RNAcentral
GAGAGGUGCUGCAUGGCUGUCGUCAGCUCGUGUUGUGAAAUGUUGGGUUAAGUCUCGCAACGAGCGCAACCCCUAUCGUCCGUUGCCAGCAUUAAGUUGGGCACUCUGACGAGACUGCCUGGGUUAACCAGGAGGAAGGUGGGGAUGACGUCAAGUCCUCAUGGCCCUUAUGUCUAGGGUUAUAUAUGUAAUACAAUGGUGCGUACAAAGGGAAGUGAAUUUGUAAGGGGGAGCAAAUCUCAAAAAGCGCGUCUCAGUCCGGAUUGGAGUCUGCAACUCGACUCCAUGAAGUUGGAAUCGCUAGUA